RNAcentral lists this unclassified non-coding RNA (345 nucleotides) under soil metagenome. Its description in RNAcentral is "partial contains 5.8S ribosomal RNA, internal transcribed spacer 2, and large subunit ribosomal RNA". The stretch from base 1 to 120 matches the Rfam family "5.8S ribosomal RNA", at positions 35 to 154 of the family's 154-position model. The record is from RNAcentral.
GAUGAAGAACGUAGCGAAAUGCGAUACGUAAUGUGAAUUGCAGAAUUCAGUGAAUCAUCGAAUCUUUGAACGCACAUUGCGCCCGCCAGUAUUCUGGCGGGCAUGCCUGUCUGAGCGUCAUUUCAACCCUCAUGCCCCUAGGGCGUGGUGUUGGGGAUCGGCCAAAGCCCGCGAGGGACGGCCGGCCCCUAAAUCUAGUGGCGGACCCGUCGUGGCCUCCUCUGCGAAGUAGUGAUAUUCCGCAUCGGAGAGCGAUGAGCCCCUGCCGUUAAACCCCCAACUUUCCAAGGUUGACCUCAGAUCAGGUAGGAAUACCCGCUGAACUUAAGCAUAUCAAUAAGCGGA